GUGGCAUUUUGGAUGCUUAGUUGGCAAUUUUUGCUAAGUAUUUGUGAUGGCGUUAAAAGUUAAACAAAUGAUUGCUUCUGGGAGUAAACCCAGGAAAUACACAAUUCCUACUCUCUAUCCAAGGUGAUUCCAGAUCUGGCUUUGCUUCUGGUUUGAGGAGAUUUUCAGAUUUAAUUAUAGGUGAAUUGAAGUAGAGGUUAGUCAAUUUGUUUCAUUACCCUCGUUUAUCUGGUCUAAGGUUCUUUUUUGUGGGUUGUAAUCAUGUGUGAGUUGCGAAAGGAGUUUAUUUUUUUUAGUAAUUGAACUUAAAUUUAUGAUAUACUCAUGUGGUUUAAGUUGUUUCUUGUGAUUUAGGUGAAUCUUCAGUUCGUAUUGAUUCUUGCGUAAAAUAUUGCAAUUACUGCUUUGUGAAAAUUGGUUGGUAUGUUUGCGAAAAUUGAAAUUAAAUUGCUGAAAUUCAAUUUUUGUUUCAAUUGUUGAAAUUCCUCCGCUUUACAAUCUCCGAUCUCCAACCUGCAAAAUGUUCGAGUCCUCUCUAUCUCUUCGAAUUCGUUUAUCUGCAAAACUCAGAUUUCGUUUUUUUUUUUUUCGAUUUUCUGUAAUCUUAUGCUGUAAUCGUUAAUAACUCCGUCAAGGUCCGUCCACAAAUCACCCCACGUGAAAACAGUUGGCAAUCUCUAGUACACAUCACAUGACAGCAUUACACCCUAAAAUGACUUUUUUGCCCCCAAGAGAAACAAGUUUGUUAAUCAAUAGGAGAAACAAGAAAUUACCCUUUUCGGUGUAGUAAUUGUAGACAAGAAGGUCAUAACAAAAGAAGGUGUAAAAAACCUUCUGUUGCUAACAAAGAAGGUCCAUCAGCACAUCCCUUUAACGAUCCAUUUCAAUCUUUACAACAAAGGCAGCGGGAGCAAAAAAAGAAGCAAGAGCAAAAUAAGACGGCACGAGAUCUUCCAACUCAAGAGUCACAAGCUCCGGUAUCAAGGCAUCAUAAGGGACAUGGUCUUUAUAACUACUAUCCAGAUGGAUUUCAAAGACAAGCUCUAGUAACUAUCUAAAUACACAAUUGAUAUGCAAGCAAGCACUCCAUCAAGCAUGACAACUCAGUAUCAUCAAGCAAAAUAGGGAAUCAAUUUCAAGAAAGGGUGAAGAUGUUUCACCAUAGUCAGGGAUUUUGAGCUGUUGAACAUGAGUUUUUGGUAUUAACAACAAGUUGAUGGGUUUAGGCAGGAAAAUACAGGAGUAUAUUAUUGGCUAGUAUUGUGGAUUUGUGGCAGUAUUGUUUUUGUUUAAUGUAAAAAACAAUUUAUUUAUUUUCUUUUGGUUUUUUUUUUUAUUAUUUUUUUGGCAAGGAUGUUGAAUUAUUUCUCCUUUUAUGAAUAGUUAAUUAUCCCUUGGGUUUA
Chenopodium quinoa (quinoa) is the source of this 1403-nucleotide long non-coding RNA. RefSeq lists it as uncharacterized. The record is from RefSeq and is a predicted model, not a curated record. NCBI's taxonomy places the organism in Eukaryota, Viridiplantae, Streptophyta, Magnoliopsida, Caryophyllales, Amaranthaceae. The transcript has 3 exons.